AAUGACCGCGGAUCAGUGAGGAUACCCGCUGAAUUUAAGCAUAUCAAUAAGCGGAGGA
Molecule: ribosomal RNA, 58 nt
Filed under: Peltigera kukwae var. phyllidiata
Lineage: Eukaryota; Fungi; Ascomycota; Lecanoromycetes; Peltigerales; Peltigeraceae
Description: partial 28S ribosomal RNA
Source: RNAcentral